This is a long non-coding RNA of Photinus pyralis (common eastern firefly), 492 nucleotides long. RefSeq lists it as uncharacterized. The record is from RefSeq and is a predicted model, not a curated record. Lineage: Eukaryota; Metazoa; Arthropoda; Insecta; Coleoptera; Lampyridae. The transcript is spliced from 2 exons.
ACAACCUAACUGAGCCAGAAAGGCGGUAUAAUGUAGCACAUAAAAGUAUUCGAAAUGUAAUCGAACGGCUAAAUGGUGUUCUGAAGACACGCUUUAGGUGCUUAUCAAAGCAUAGAGUAUUACAUUACAAUCCAGCGAAAUGUGCCAAACUUAUAUAUGCAUGUGCUAUACUCCAUAACAUGUGCAUACAUAAUGGUGAGAUUGAUAUCGAUAUUGAUCAUAAUGAUGAAGAGGACAAUAAUGAUGAACCUCGAAAUGCAGAGAAUGAUCAUAAUAAUUUACGUGAGGGAAGAAUCAUUCGAAACAGAAUUAUUCGAGAUUAUUUUCAAUAGUAUAAUUCUCAAAAUUUUGCCUUACAUAAUAGAUAGCAGUCUCUUUACUGCUGCCAGAAACUCCUCUAAGGAUUGUAAUAAAAUGUGCAAUGUUAAUGUCAUUCUUUUGUUGUUUUUGAUGUAUUCCUCUACAGUUCUUAAUACAUUCUUACUCAACCGA